Molecule: unclassified non-coding RNA, 218 nt
Filed under: uncultured fungus
Lineage: Eukaryota; Fungi
Description: sequence contains ITS1, 5.8S rRNA gene
Rfam family: 5.8S ribosomal RNA (bases 170-218)
Source: RNAcentral
UUUCCGUAGGUGAACCUGCGGAAGGAUCAUUACAGAGUUCAUGCCCUUCGGGGUAGACCUCCCACCCUUUGUAUACCGUGCCUUUGUUGCUUUGGCGGACGCUUCGGCAGCCGCCAGAGGACCCUAAACUCUUGUUUACAGUGUCGUCUGAGUACUAUAUAAUAGUUAAAACUUUCAACAACGGAUCUCUUGGUUCUGGCAUCGAUGAAGAACGCAGC